This 897-nucleotide ribosomal RNA is filed under the name uncultured bacterium. RNAcentral describes it as "bacterial SSU rRNA". It matches the Rfam family "Bacterial small subunit ribosomal RNA", at positions 8 to 916 of the family's 1533-position model. The record is from RNAcentral.
AGAGUUUGAUCAUGGCUCAGGAUGAACGCUGGCGGCGUGCUUAAUACAUGCAAGUCGAACGGAGAGUUUUGUAGUAAUACGAAGCUUCUCAGUGGCGAACGGGCGAGUAACGAGUUGGUGACCUGCCCCGAAGUGUGGGAUAACAGUCCGAAAGGAUUGCUAAUACCGCAUGUGAUCAUUGGUUUUAGAAUCUGAUGAUUAAAGCAGUAAUGCGCUUCGGGAGGGACCUGCUUCCCAUCAGCUAGUUGGUGAGGUAAAGGCCCACCAAGGCUACGACGGGUAAGGGACCUGAGAGGGUGGUCCCUCGCAAUGGCACUGAAACACGGGCCAUACACCUACGGGUGGCAGCAGUAGGGAAUAUUGGGCAAUGGGCGAAAGCCUGACCCAGCAACGCCGCGUGCACGAUGAAGGCCUUCGGGUCGUAAAGUGCUUUUCUGAGGGAUGAGUAAGGACAGUACCUCAGGAAUAAGCCUCGGCUAACUACGUGCCAGCAGCCGCGGUAAAACGUAGGAGGCGAGCGUUAUCCGGAUUUACUGGGCGUAAAGCGUGUGCAGGCGGUUCGGCAAGUUGGAUGUGAAAGCUCCUGGCUUAACUAGGAGAGGUUGUUCAAUACUACCGAACUUGAGGGCAUCAGAGGAAGGUGGAAUUCCCGGUGUAGUGGUGAAAUGCGUAGAUAUCGGGAGGAACACCAGUGGCGAAGGCGGCCUUCUGGGAUGUUCCUGACGCUCAUACACGAAAGCUAGGGUAGCGAACGGGAUUAGAGACCCCGGUAGUCCUAGCAGUAAACGAUGUAGACUUGGUGUCGGAGGUGUCAAAACCUUCGGUAUCGUAGCUAACGCGAUAAGUCUACCGCCUGGGGACUACGGCCGCAAGGUUAAAACUCAAAUGAAUUGACGG